GAUGAACGCUGGCGGCGUGCUUAACACAUGCAAGUCGAACGGAAAGGCUCCUGCUUGCAGGGGUACUCGAGUGGCGAACGGGUGAGUAACACGUGGGUGAUCUGCCCUGCACUUCGGGAUAAGCCUGGGAAACUGGGUCUAAUACCGGAUAGGACGAUGGUUUGGAUGCCAUUGUGGAAAGUUUUUUCGGUGUGGGAUGAGCUCGCGGCCUAUCAGCUUGUUGGUGGGGUAAUGGCCUACCAAGGCGUCGACGGGUAGCCGGCCUGAGAGGGUGUACGGCCACAUUGGGACUGAGAUACGGCCCAGACUCCUACGGGAGGCAGCAGUGGGGAAUAUUGCACAAUGGGUGCAAGCCUGAUGCAGCGACGCCGCGUGGGGGAUGACGGCCUUCGGGUUGUAAACUCCUUUCGCUAGGGACGAAGCGCAAGUGACGGUACCUGGAGAAGAAGCACCGGCUAACUACGUG
RNAcentral lists this ribosomal RNA (466 nucleotides) under uncultured bacterium. RNAcentral describes it as "partial 16S ribosomal RNA". It matches the Rfam family "Bacterial small subunit ribosomal RNA", at positions 28 to 507 of the family's 1533-position model. The record is from RNAcentral.